GACGAACGCUGGCGGCGUGCUUAACACAUGCAAGUCGAGCGGUAAGGCUCCUUCGGGAGUACACGAGCGGCGAAAGGGUGAGUAACACGUGAGCAAUCCGCCCUUCCCAUCGGAAUAAGCGUGGGAAACCGCGUCUAAUGCCGAAUACGACCUCCUUUCGCAUGACCGGAGGUGGCAAGCUCUGGCGGAGAAGGCUGAGCUCGCGGCCUAUCAGCUAGUUGGUGAGGUAACGGCCCACCGAGGCGACGACGGGUAGCCGGCCGGAGAGGGUGACCGGCCACACUUGGACUGAGACACGGCCCAGACUCCUACGGGAGGCAGCAGUGGGGAAUAUUGGACAAUGGGCGAAAGCCUGAUCCAGCAACGCCGCGUGAGGGAUGACGGCCUUCGGGUUGCAAACCUCUUUCAGCAGGGACGAAGCGAAAGUGACGGUACCUGCAGAAGAAGGACCGGCCAACUACGUGCCAGCAGCCGCCGUAA
RNAcentral lists this ribosomal RNA (480 nucleotides) under uncultured bacterium. RNAcentral's name for it is "partial 16S ribosomal RNA". It matches the Rfam family "Bacterial small subunit ribosomal RNA", at positions 28 to 523 of the family's 1533-position model. The record is from RNAcentral.